This 120-nucleotide transfer-messenger RNA is filed under the name Chloroflexia bacterium. Its description in RNAcentral is "partial transfer-messenger RNA". It matches the Rfam family "transfer-messenger RNA", at positions 236 to 374 of the family's 374-position model. From Rfam's summary of the family: Bacterial tmRNA, also known as 10Sa RNA or SsrA, is named for its dual tRNA and mRNA-like properties. The record is from RNAcentral. Lineage: Bacteria; Bacillati; Chloroflexota; Chloroflexia.
UCACCGGUUACCCAUCCUGUCGGCGGGAGUGGUAACAGGCACGAAAAACACCGACUAAACGUGUAGUAAAUGUCCGGCAGAAGGUUCUGGACGGGGGUUCGAUUCCCCCCAUCUCCACCA